RNA transcript from Vitis vinifera (wine grape), 2099 nucleotides. It is a transcript of the gene named long chain base biosynthesis protein 2a, with no coding region annotated. NCBI's taxonomy places the organism in Eukaryota, Viridiplantae, Streptophyta, Magnoliopsida, Vitales, Vitaceae. The record is from RefSeq and is a predicted model, not a curated record. The transcript has 13 exons.
GUGUGCCGAACAGCAGUCGGCACAAAGGCCCGAAACUGAUUAAACUGUGGGCUUUUUGAUUUUCCAAACUGGGGGCCCACAUAUAGUGGCCUCUUUCUCUCCCUUCUCUCUUCCCUCUCUCAUGAAAAUUCUCCAAUUGCGUUCGUGAAUAAUUUCUGGAUUACAGAUCUGGAGCUUUGAAUGAAGUGAUUGAUCGAAAUGAUUACCAUUCCAUAUUUGACCGCCUUGACCACUCUCUUCAGCUAUGGAUUGCUCUUCGCCUUCGGUCAGUUUCGAGACUUUUUCAGAAAGAUCUUUGAUUGGUGGAAAGCCAGCAAUCUUCAGGGUUACGCGCCGAUCUGCUUAGGGCUUGAGGAUUUCUACAUUCGCAGGCUGUAUCUUCGUAUUCAGGACUGUUUUGGCCGGCCAAUAUCGAGUGCUCCAGAUGCUUGGUUUGAUGUAGUUGAAAGGUUCUCCAAUGACAAUAACAAGACACUAAAACGAACCACAAAGAUAAGUAAGUGUCUUAACUUGGGGUCAUACAAUUACCUUGGAUUUGCCGCAUCAGAUGAAUUCUGCACACCACGUGUAAUCGAGUCUUUGAAGAGGUUUUCCCCAGGUACCUGUAGCACCCGUGUUGAUGGAGGCACCACAACAUUGCAUAAAGAAGUGGAGGAAUGUGUUGCAAACUUUGUUGGAAAGCCUGCUGCAAUAGUCUUUGGCAUGGGCUAUGUGACAAACUCUGCUAUCCUUCCGGUCCUGAUUGGGAAGGGGGGGUUGAUAAUUAGUGAUUCUUUGAACCACAACUCCAUUGUCAAUGGUGCUCGAGGAUCAGGAGCUACCGUUCGAGUUUUCCAACACAAUAUACCAUCUCACUUGGAGAAAGUUUUGAGAGAACAAAUUGCUGAGGGACAACCCCGGACACAUAGACCAUGGAAGAAGAUAAUUGUUGUUGUGGAAGGAAUAUAUAGCAUGGAAGGGGAACUCUGCAAACUCCCAGAGAUUGUUGCAAUCUGCAAGAAAUAUAAGGCAUAUGUUUACUUGGAUGAGGCACACAGUAUUGGAGCAGUUGGGAAAACAGGAAGAGGUGUCUGUGAGCUCUUAGGUGUGGAUACCGCUGAUGUGGAUAUUAUGAUGGGAACUUUCACAAAAUCUUUUGGAUCAUGUGGUGGUUAUAUUGCUGGAUCCAAGGAGCUGAUUCAAUAUCUAAAGUACACUUGUCCUGCUCAUCUAUAUGCAACCUCAAUAUCACCACCAGCUGCACAACAGAUUAUAUCUUCCAUCAAGGUUAUUCUUGGAGAAGAUGGCUCUAGUAGAGGGGCUCAGAAAUUGGCACGAAUACGUGAGAACAGUAACUUUUUCAGAUCAGAACUGCAGAAGAUGGGCUUUGAGGUUCUUGGAGAUAAUGAUUCUCCUGUAAUGCCAAUAAUGCUUUACAAUCCAGCCAAAAUUCCUGCCUUUUCGCGGGAGUGUCUCAAACAGAAUGUUGCUGUUGUGACAGUUGCUUUUCCAGCUACUCCACUUCUUUUGGCCAGGGCACGGAUCUGCAUUUCUGCUUCUCAUACCAGGGAAGACCUGAUUAAAGGCUUAGAGGUUAUCAGCCGAGUUGGUGACCUAGUGGCCAUAAAGUAUUUCCCUGCUGAGCCCAGGAAGCAACAGCUGGAGGAAGGCAGAGUGAAACUGGAGUGAAAGAUUAAGAAAACAGUGGGGUGCAACUGUUUAGCCUCCGAAAGGAGAUCUAGCUUUGAUCUAACUACUGGUAAAUAAGAGAUUGUAUUAGAAAAAGCUUAGAAGAGGCCAAAAGAGUACCGCAAGCAACGUCCAAGAAGCUAGGUAAAAAGAAAGAAGAAAACCUUUCUCCUAUUUACACAAAAGCCACUCUAUAAUUGGCUUCAUUGAUUCAUUAUAGUGAAGAGUGGCUUAGAUUUUUCUAGUCAGUAGUAAUAGAUAGAGAUGGAAGUGGGUUUCUGUAAUAGGAAGCCACAAAGUGGGUUGGUGCCCGGUGGGUUGGUGGGGAAAGGUUCAAACCUGCUUCUUUAAGAUUGUACAGGCGCCACAGUAAUAAAUAUCGAAUAAUAAUAAUAAAUACAACUGAUGCAUAUUUUCUGAGGUUUUAGCAA